UACAGAGGGGGCAAGCGUUAUUCGGAAUUAUUGGGCGUAAAGGGCGCGUAGGCGGCUUGGCAAGUGGAUGGUGAAAUCCCUCGGCUUAACCGAGGAACUGCCGUCCAAACUGCUUCGCUUGAGACCGGGAGAGGUGAGUGGAAUUCCCAGUGUAGCGGUGAAAUGCGUAGAUAUUGGGAGGAACACCAGUGGCGAAGGCGGCUCGCUGGGACGUUACUGACGCUGAGACGCGAAAGCGUGGGGAGCAAACAGG
This 253-nucleotide ribosomal RNA is filed under the name uncultured bacterium. Its description in RNAcentral is "partial 16S ribosomal RNA". It matches the Rfam family "Bacterial small subunit ribosomal RNA", at positions 524 to 776 of the family's 1533-position model. The record is from RNAcentral.